AAACCAACUGAUCUGUACCAAGCCAUAUAAGUACGACUUGGUUUUACCUCAGUUGGCAUGACUGCGUCAGUUAAGACAUGGUCAUGACGAUGCUUCCAUUUACGACACUCCGAUCUUGCGAAGCUUUGCCAUGGAUUGAAGUUCCAUUGGUCGUUAACUUUACGCAGAUGCCAUUCUCCUAGGCUAGCUAGGGGAUCUGGGAUAUUCUGGAC
Molecule: long non-coding RNA, 212 nt
Filed under: Lathyrus oleraceus (garden pea)
Lineage: Eukaryota; Viridiplantae; Streptophyta; Magnoliopsida; Fabales; Fabaceae
Description: Pisum sativum (pea) long non-coding RNA (PSAT_LNC017767)
Source: RNAcentral